AAUUCCGCGAAUCAUCGAGUUUUUGAACGCAAGUUGCGCCCGAGGCUCGUCCGAGGGCAUGCCUGCNUGAGCGUCCAC
RNAcentral lists this ribosomal RNA (78 nucleotides) under Diplasiolejeunea plicatiloba. RNAcentral's name for it is "partial 5.8S ribosomal RNA". It matches the Rfam family "5.8S ribosomal RNA", at positions 78 to 154 of the family's 154-position model. Rfam says of the family: 5.8S ribosomal RNA (5.8S rRNA) is a component of the large subunit of the eukaryotic ribosome. The record is from RNAcentral. Lineage: Eukaryota; Viridiplantae; Streptophyta; Jungermanniopsida; Porellales; Lejeuneaceae.